AGUGAACGCUGGCGGUAUGCCUAACACAUGCAAGUCGAACGGCAGCACAGUAAGAGCUUGCUCUUACGGGUGGCGAGUGGCGGACGGUUGAGGAAUACAUCGGAAUCUACUUUUUCGUGGGGGAUAACGUAGGGAAACUUACUCUAAUACCGCAUACGACCUACGGGUGAGAGCAGGGGAUCUUCUGACCUUUCGGGAGUGAAAGAGCCGAUGUCGGAUUAGCUAGUUGGCGGGGUAAAGGGCCACCAAGGCGACGAUCCGUAGCUGGUCUGAGAGGAUGAUCAGCCACACUGGAACUGAGACACGGUCCAGACUCCUACGGGAGGCAGCAGUGGGGAAUAUUGGACAAUGGGCGCAAGCCUGAUCCAGCCAUACCGCGUGGGUGAAGAAGGCCUUCGGGUUGUAAAGCCCUUUUGUUGGGAAAGAAAAGCAGCAGGUUAAUACCCCGCUGUUCUGACGGUACCCAAAGAAUAAGCACCGGCUAACUUCGUG
Molecule: ribosomal RNA, 492 nt
Filed under: uncultured bacterium
Lineage: Bacteria
Description: partial 16S ribosomal RNA
Rfam family: Bacterial small subunit ribosomal RNA
Source: RNAcentral